AAACCCGAUGCAGGAGAGCGCUACACCGUACUACAUCAACUGUACGGCAAGCCGCCGAAGGCGCAGACACCCUUAAAUCGCUCAGGCAAAAGGACUGCAUUUCAUCA
Molecule: non-coding RNA, 107 nt
Organism: Neisseria zoodegmatis
Lineage: Bacteria; Pseudomonadati; Pseudomonadota; Betaproteobacteria; Neisseriales; Neisseriaceae
Source: Rfam